This 254-nucleotide ribosomal RNA is filed under the name uncultured bacterium. RNAcentral describes it as "partial 16S ribosomal RNA". It matches the Rfam family "Bacterial small subunit ribosomal RNA", at positions 524 to 776 of the family's 1533-position model. The record is from RNAcentral.
UACGUAGGGUGCGAGCGUUAAUCGGAAUUACUGGGCGUAAAGGGUGCGCAGGCGGUCUCGUAAGCUGGGUGUGAAAGCCCCGGGCUUAACCUGGGAAUGGCAUUCAGGACUGCGAGGCUUUGAGUGUGGCAGAGGGAGGUGGAAUUCCACGUGUAGCAGUGAAAUGCGUAGAGAUCGGGAGGAACACCAGAGGCGAAGGCGGCGACCUGGACAGGUACUGACACUCAACUACGAAAGCGUGGGGAGCAAACAGG